GACGAACGCUGGCGGCGUGCCUAAUACAUGCAAGUAGAACGCUGAAGGGAGGAGCUUGCUCUUCUUGGAUGAGUUGCGAACGGGUGAGUAACGCGUAGGUAACCUGCCUUGUAGCGGGGGAUAACUAUUGGAAACGAUAGCUAAUACCGCAUAACAAUGGAUGACCCAUGUCAUUUAUUUGAAAGGGGCAAAUGCUCCACUACAAGAUGGACCUGCGUUGUAUUAGCUAGUAGGUGAGGUAACGGCUCACCUAGGCGACGAUACAUAGCCGACCUGAGAGGGUGAUCGGCCACACUGGGACUGAGACACGGCCCAGACUCCUACGGGAGGCAGCAGUAGGGAAUCUUCGGCAAUGGGGGCAACCCUGACCGAGCAACGCCGCGUGAGUGAAGAAGGUUUUCGGAUCGUAAAGCUCUGUUGUAAGUCAAGAACGAGUGUGAGAGUGGAAAGUUCACACU
Molecule: ribosomal RNA, 458 nt
Filed under: Streptococcus salivarius
Lineage: Bacteria; Bacillati; Bacillota; Bacilli; Lactobacillales; Streptococcaceae
Description: bacterial SSU rRNA
Rfam family: Bacterial small subunit ribosomal RNA
Source: RNAcentral